GGAACCGUGCCCGAAUAAUUAGGGAUUACUUUGAUAGAGUAAACAAUAGGGGUUAAAGUCCCCUCAGUUCUU
This 72-nucleotide transfer RNA is filed under the name Devario laoensis. Its description in RNAcentral is "tRNA-Ile". It matches the Rfam family "tRNA". From Rfam's summary of the family: Transfer RNA (tRNA) molecules are approximately 80 nucleotides in length. Lineage: Eukaryota; Metazoa; Chordata; Actinopteri; Cypriniformes; Danionidae. The record is from RNAcentral.